UUGGAACGUUAUACUAAUUUCGUGAGAUGUUACGUAACAAGCUAAACUAAAAAAAUUAAAUUAAAAAAUAAAUAACUAAAAAUCAGUAUGCAUACGUAUAAAAAUUACAUUUUGAAACACAUUUGUAUAAAAAUUUAUAACAUCUAUGAAUAAUUAUAAACUAUCUAAGAAACGGGACGGUUUUGCUCGGCGUAUCUCUUGAUCAUAGCUGAAAUCGCUGGUUUGCCUGCGAGCUCCAGUUGGUGCAUGUAUUGGUCGAGGUGUGCGCGUCUCGGGUCGUCGUCGUCCCAACCAUCCUGGAAUGAUUCAAAUCGGAGAAAGCCAUCGCCCACAGGGAUAAGCUGGUCGUCAGUGAUGUUGUUGGCUUUAGCCAUCUGUUUGCUGAAGACUUUGGGGGUAGAUAGUGUGAUAAGCAAACCCUUGGAGGCAAGGCGCUUGCCGAGUCUUAGUAGAGGGUUUACAUGGCCUUGGGCUGGAAAUGAAACAAGAAACGCAUGAAGCAGAGGUUCAGUACUCAUUCUACGCUUAAAAGAAGAGAAAGAUGCGAAUUAUCUAUUGAGCAAUGUAUGAUGAGUGAAAUGGGAGUGUGUAUAUAUAUACACACACAUAAUGAUUUAUUUCAAGAUGUAAUAAAAAUUUAUAUAUAUAUUUUUGUAAUUUUUACAUUUUCUAAUUUUUUUAUAAAUUUUACAAUAAUUUUCAAAUUUCUAAUAUUUUUAUAACUUCUUAUAGUUCAUUUAAUAAUUUUUUUUAUUUUUUACCAUUUUAAAAAAAAAUUCUAGCAUAUUUUAAAUUUUUUUAAACAAUUAUAUUUAUUUAUUUGGAUCUCCACUCAUAGGAAUGGAGUACAUUUUAUGAUCAACCGUUUGCCUUUUCGGAGAGCACUUGCAACUAGAACAUUAAUUAUUAUUGUCGGUUAUGAUACCCUAACAAUGACAAUAUUUAUAUUUAUAAUUUAUUUAUUUUUUAAUUUUAAUUUUUUUUAUAAUUUUAAAGGUUUUUUAGGUUUUUUUGGAUGAUGGCAUCAUUGCAACAUCAGUGUAGGCCACAGAUAAUUUUAUGAUUGGUUGGAUAUCACAACAUUUUAUUUUUUUUAACGUCCAAAGGACUAAACCAAAAACUUUUGAUAAAGUUAAAGAUUGAACUGAGAAUAUUUAAUAAUGUUAGGGAUUGAAAUAAGCCAAUUUAGGGGACAAAUAGACAUGUCCAUAGGUUGGGCCCCUCGGCCGGGCUCGAAGGUCAACUCAAAAAGUGAGAGAGUUUGGGUAAAAAUAUAUGCCCAAAAAAUAGGCUUGAGCAAAAAAAAAGGCUCAUUUAAAAAAUGGGUCACGCCUUGAGUAAGGCUUUUUAAUUUGUCCCUGAGCCUGGCCUGGCCUGGCCCGAAUAUGUAAAAAAAAUAUAUUAUUUCUUUUUACUGUUUUGUUGCUAUUUUCUUAUUGUUUUUUUCUCACUAUUUUGUUACCAUUUUACUGUUAUGUUAGCUACUAUUUUGUUAUUAUUUUGUUAUAACUAUUGUUUUAUUGUUGAUUUUGUUAAUAUUUUAGAGACAUUUGUUUGUUAAGUUGCGCUUAUCUUAGUGUUAUUUAAGUAUAUAUAUUUUUUAAUUUAUUUUUAAUUUAUUAGGAAACAUUUAUUUUAAUAUUUUUAAUAUUUUGAUGUAUUAUAUUUUUUUAAAAAUUAUAUAAAAAAAUAAAUACGGGUGCCCCGAGCCCUGAAUUUAACAUUUUUAUCUAGGCUGGGCUUGGACAAAAUUUUAGACCCAUUUUUAAGCCGGACCCAAACCUAAAAAACGAGCCUAAAAUUUUUCAUUGGGCUCGAUCCAUGAAUACCUCUAUGACAAAGGAAGAAAAGAUGUAUACGUCAAAAACUACAGGUUGCAUUAAACUUCUCUUAAUAUGAGAUUAAUGUACUUACCUACUUUUAAAGCCACAGAAUGGAAAAGAGAGAAAAUUGGCAUUUUCAACUCCACUUAUUAACGAAGAGACGUAGGGAUAUGACUGGGUGAAAACCAUUUUUUUCUCCCAAAGGAUACAUAGUUGAUGUUUCUGGAUACUAUGCGUAUGUGUGUUCCAUUCUUCAGGUGGGAUAAAAUGACAAAUAUAAGCUCAAUUAUCAACUUCAAUCAGCUUCUUAAGACAUAUUUAUGUAUCUGUUAUGUUACGUAUGUAUGAUAAUAGAUUCUUAAGGUUUCUCUACGUAAGAUGCGAGCAUAUUGGAGUAUAUUACAAAUUAGGCCAUUGAGACAGCGAUGUGGUUAAGUAAUUUCAAUAAAGUUUUGGUGAUCGAGCUGCUUAAAUCAUCGAUUCAUCAAUUUAAUUAGUAACAAAAUUAAUGGAUUACGAUAAUUACAUAAUUCAAAGAUUAAGGUACGUGGAUAGUAUGAAUUAUAAUCUAAAUUGCUUAUCAAGUGAAUAAAUACAUUUAAAUUUAAAUUCACUGAAGCGCAUAAUAUCCUUUACUUUAAACUUAAGUUUGUUUACUUUAGUCAUAUAUAUAUUUAGUGGUGGAGCCACUAUGAGACCCAGGGGUCAUGACCCCUCAAGGUCUAAGAAUUUUCAAUUUUUCCCUUAUGGCCCUCUUAAAUAUUAAAGUAGGUCCCUUCAAUAUUUUUAUACUAUUAAAAUAAUAUUAAAAAAUUAUAAGUAAAAUGUUCAAAUCAUCUAAAAUUGCAGAAUCUAUCCAUAAUUUUUUUUAUCUUUGUCAAGUAUUAACAGAGACACAGAUGUUAAAGAUAUAUUAAGGACUAUAAAAUCUCAUAAUUUUCGAUAGUGUGUUUCAUAUUAUACAAAGAUGAAACUUUUUAACUAAACUCUCAGGUUUGAUGUUGUUUUUUUUCUUUUUAUUAAACAAAUUUUCACUUAAAAUGAUGUGUUUCAUGUUAUACAAUUAUAGGUACUUUGGAUGUUUUAAGUAAACACUCAAAUCACCUAAAGUCUUCAUUAUAGGAGUUGGUUUUCUACAUGCAUGUGGGCAGCCUUUUGGUGUAGUCUGUUUUUUUGUAAGUUUUCAUAUUAUUUUGGUGUUAUAUAUGCCAUAAAUAGUCUUAUAGUUGGGCUUUAUUUAAGUGGUUGAUAAAUAAUUAAAAGGGUAAACUAUUAAAGUAGUCACUUUUGUUUAUCUCAGAUUAUAUUUCAGUUACUUAUAUUUGAAAUAUUAUGUUUUAGUCACUUACGUUAACGUGUUGUAGCAUUUUAGUUACGGAGCCGUUAAUUGUCGUUAAUGGUGUAAUGGUAAGUUGGCGUAGCACAUUAAAUUAUCAUUUCAAACAAAAAUUUUAGGUUAAAUUCUACAAUUAGUCCCCAUAUUUUUUCGUUUUGAACAAUUUUUUUUCUUUUAUAUUGUUUUAAUUAUCCUUUUUUUCUUUAUUUUUCAUUCUCUUCUGCUUCUUCCUCUGUUCUCUAUCUCUUUUAAUGUAAUUUUUCUAUAUUUUUCAUUUUUUAAAACUAAAGGGGAAAAAGAAAAAAAUUAAAUUGUUCAAAAAAACAAAAAGUAUAGGAACUAGUUUUAAAAAAUAAAAAACAUUAAAAAAAACUACGUUAAAAGAGAUGAAGAAGGGAAGAAAACAAAUGGAGAAGCAGAAAAGAAUAAAAAAAAAGAAAAAAAAGUUAAAAACAUAUAAAUGGAAAAAUAAAAAACAUAUUAACAUAAGUGACUAAAACAUAAGAUUUUAAACAUAAAUGACUAAAAUGUAAUAUGAGGUAAACAAAAGUUACUAUUUUGAUAAUUUACCAGAAUUAAAAAUAUUAAAAAUUCAGAACAAAUUGAUGGUUGAAUUUCCAUAGUAACAUCUUAUUUUGAUUUGUGAUGUUUUUACUUAAAAUUUUAGACGUUCUAUUUUUUUUUUAUAUAGGUAAUCGAUUUUUGUUGGAUUGAGUGAUAAAAAAUUUAAUUUUUAUUUUUAAAUAAAAAUUUCGGUAAAAUCUUCAUUAGGUUUGAUAAGAGGUUUCAUCACUAGAAGCAAGUGAGAAAACAAACAUUUUGAGUACUAUGAUUACUACUAUGUUUCCAUUAGGUUCUAGCCUACGUCUCUCAUUGAGGGUAUCCAGCGUACCUUAUUAUUGCACCCAACACUUGUUGGUUCAUGAAACUUUCUUUGUUAAUAUGACUUUUGUCAUUAGUAACAUAUAUUGAAACUACUACCCAACGUAUUAAUUUGCCGUCCAAAAUCUUUCGAUAUUUUAUAAUCAUUUAGUUUUCGAUUACAUUUAGAGCUAGACCAAAAUCAAAAUCUUAAACAGUAAAUAAAAUAUAUAUUUAGCAAAAAUAUAUAAGGUUUAGAAACUUGAAAUAAGAUUUAAAUAUGGAUGAAAAAAUAUAAAUUAUUAUAUAUAUUAAGCACAUUUAUAAAUUAAUAUAUUUAGCAAAGGGUAUAAAUUAUGUUAGGAUGAUUUUAAAAUAUUUAAUUUUUAGGUACGGAUAAAAUGGUAUUGCAUUAUUUACCUUUAAUAUCUUCUCUAAUUUAACUUUAAUUAAUUAAAAAAAGCUUAAUUUUAAUUAAAUUAUUAAAAAAAUUAAAUAAAUAAACAGAUACUUUACUUAUUUUAUAAUUUUUAAACCAUUUUUAAUUUUUUUCACCUUAAAGAAAUCAUUAUUUUUUUAAAUUAAUGAUUGGUUUCGAUUUUUAUUUUCACUUUUUUUUCUUAUAAUUUUUUUAUAAAUUUUUUGAAUGUUUGCUUGUAAAAUUUUGAAUAUUCUCUAAUACUAAAUUAUUUUUUCAAACCAAAUCCUAACGUAAUUAACCCAAGUUAAACUAUAGCAACCAGUACAAUUUACUUACAAAUAACUUAACAUGCAUACAUGUAAAUGGAAAAGCUAUGGUUAGAUAACUAUAUUUAUUUCUGUUCUUUUCAAUCAUCAUUACAUUACCUUACGAAACAUCCAUAUAUCACAGCUCAACUAUCUCCACCUCGGUCGGUGAGUGCUUAUUCACAAAAUUCAUAGUAGCUGCAUCAAUGUCGUCCACGUGAUUCAUUGUCAUGCUCGUGCAUCUCCUUCUGACGUCAUUAAUAAAGGCCUGUAUGUUCCUAUCAGAGGACCCGCCACUUGCCAUUGCUGCCUCCGCCGCCGCCUUCCACUUCAAGGCGUUGCGCUUCAAAUCCUUUGCCUUCGGCCCCACUGUUGCUUCCACAAAGCAUUUCGCCACCUCCUCCUUUGGAAUUAUCCUGUUUUCUGCCUCUCCACGGCCCAUUCUCACCCCGGUCUUAAACACGUCAACCAAAUAAACAGCGUUCGUCACUUGAUCGCCCCAUUGAGGGAACGCAACGAUGGGCACACCACAUGAUAGUGCCUCCAUCGUCGAGUUCCAACCGCAAUGCGACACAAAGCAGGAAACCGAAGGGUGAAUCAGCACUUUAUCUUGUCGACUCCAUUGCACGACCUUGCCAUUGUCACCCACUUUCUCCAAGAACCCUUCAGGCAAAGUGUGGAUUGGAAGGCCAUACUCCUUUGCCGGCGGUUUCAUCACCCACAAGUAUGAGAUACCAGUGGCUAACAGCGCUUCAGCUAUUUCAUCCACUUGUUCUUGUUUCAAGUAAACAACAGUACCAAACGAGAUAUAUAUCACUGACGCGGCCGGUUUCGAGUCGAGCCACUCGAUGCAGUCAUCAGGUUUCAUGAUGUCACAACGGAUCGUGUUGUUUGGUACUUCGGGGUACUUGAACAAUGGACCAACAGUCUUUAUAAGGCAAAACUUGGACAUGUAUUCAACGAUUUCAGGCUCGAGUUCUUGGAAAGUGUCCAUCAAUACACAAAAUUGCUUAUCAAGUUUCUUAAAUUGACCAAGAAUGGCCGUCCUCAAGUAAGCAAAAGGAGUUGAAGGGUGCAAAAAGCUAGGAACUUCAUCGUGCUUGAGAAGCGGCAUGGACGGCAACUGAACAUCAAAUUCAGGAUCAGUUUCAGUAGGAAACGUCACUAACCAAUGAUUGUAAUGGUAAUAGGCGGCGAAACACGCGCAAGACUGCACCCAAAGCAUUGCAGAAGGGAUGCCGAGACUUUCAGCAACAUCAGAUGCCCAAGGAAUGAAAGGGUUGUUGAUGAAGCAAGAAACGGGGCGGUUUUGCUCGGCGUAUCUCUUUAUCAUCGCUGAAAUCGCUGGUUUGCCUGCGAGCUCCAGUUGGUGCAUGUAUUGGUCGAGGUGUGCGCGUCUCGGGUCGUCGUCGUCCCAACCAUCCUGGAACGAUUCAAAUCGGAGAAAGCCAUCGCCCACAGGGAUAAGCUGGUCGUCAGUGAUGUUGUUGGCUUUAGCCAUCUGUUUGCCGAAGCCUUUGGGUGUAGAUAGUGUGAC
RNAcentral lists this long non-coding RNA (6283 nucleotides) under Gossypium barbadense (sea-island cotton). Its description in RNAcentral is "long non-coding RNA (GBAR_LNC002754)". The record is from RNAcentral. Lineage: Eukaryota; Viridiplantae; Streptophyta; Magnoliopsida; Malvales; Malvaceae.